UUGCGGUUAAAAAGCUCGUAGUUGGAUCUCGGCAAGUAGAGGGCGGUAUGCUUCGUAGCAUUACUGCCCUAUUACUUGUAGUUUUGCCAGAGGUUCCUGGGUGCUCUUAAUCGAGUGUCUAGGGAUGCUGGCAGGUUUACUUUGAAAAAAUUAGAGUGCUCAAAGCAGGCUAUUACGCUUGAAUAUUCGUGCAUGGAAUAAUAGAAUAGGAAGUUGUUUCUAUUUUGUUGGUUUUCGGAAAUCGACUUAAUGAUUAAUAGGGACAGUCGGGGGCAUUUGUAUUCAAACGACAGAGGUGAAAUUCUUGGACCGUUUGAAGACAAACUACUGCGAAAGCAUUUACCAAGAAUGUUUUCAUUAAUCAAGAACGAAAGUUAGAGGUUCGAAGGCGAUUAGAUACCGCCCUAGUUCUAACCAUAAACGAUGCCAGCUAGCGAUCUGAGGACGUUUUUUUUGU
Molecule: ribosomal RNA, 457 nt
Filed under: uncultured marine eukaryote
Lineage: Eukaryota
Description: SSU rRNA
Rfam family: Eukaryotic small subunit ribosomal RNA
Source: RNAcentral